Molecule: long non-coding RNA, 278 nt
Filed under: Rattus norvegicus (Norway rat)
Lineage: Eukaryota; Metazoa; Chordata; Mammalia; Rodentia; Muridae
Description: long non-coding RNA NONRATT016184
Source: RNAcentral
UUGGGCCUGACCUGAAAGAGAGUGAGAUCUUUCUUCUCUGCAGGUUACCAUGGACUUGGUGUUCUGCCUCACCAGCAGCCUAGAAUACAGGCGCUAAGGGCUGUACAUGGAAACCGGGAACUGUACUGAAUCUCCAUCCCUUUGUCAACAUACAGAUACAGCGUCUAGCAGAGGAAAUGCAUUCCACCAACGUAAAUAACCACAGCAGAUGGCUUAAGAUAUGUAUUUGAUGAUCUCCUACUGUAGCCAACAAUAAAUAGAGUUCUGUUUCUCACAAA